This 231-nucleotide ribosomal RNA is filed under the name uncultured bacterium. RNAcentral describes it as "partial 16S ribosomal RNA". It matches the Rfam family "Bacterial small subunit ribosomal RNA", at positions 103 to 334 of the family's 1533-position model. The record is from RNAcentral.
CGGGUGAGUAACGCGUGGGUAACCUGCCUCAUACAGGGGGAUAACAGUUAGAAAUGACUGCUAAUACCGCAUAAGACCACAGGAUCGCAUGAUCCGGUGGUAAAAACUCCGGUGGUAUGAGAUGGACCCGCGUCUGAUUAGCUAGUUGGUGGGGUAACGGCUCACCAAGGCGACGAUCAGUAGCCGACCUGAGAGGGUGACCGGCCACAUUGGGACUGAGACACGGCCCAA